This 487-nucleotide ribosomal RNA is filed under the name uncultured bacterium. Its description in RNAcentral is "bacterial SSU rRNA". It matches the Rfam family "Bacterial small subunit ribosomal RNA", at positions 23 to 507 of the family's 1533-position model. The record is from RNAcentral.
CUCAGAUUGAACGCUGGCGGCAUGCUUUACACAUGCAAGUCGAACGGUAACAGGUCUUCGGAUGCUGACGAGUGGCGAACGGGUGAGUAAUGCAUCGGAACGUGCCCAGUCGUGGGGGAUAACGCAGCGAAAGCUGUGCUAAUACCGCAUACGAUCUAUGGAUGAAAGCGGGGGACCGUAAGGCCUCGCGCGAUUGGAGCGGCCGAUGUCAGAUUAGCUAGUUGGUGGGGUAAAGGCCCACCAAGGCGACGAUCUGUAGCUGGUCUGAGAGGACGACCAGCCACACUGGGACUGAGACACGGCCCAGACUCCUACGGGAGGCAGCAGUGGGGAAUUUUGGACAAUGGGCGCAAGCCUGAUCCAGCAAUGCCGCGUGCAGGAAGAAGGCCUUCGGGUUGUAAACUGCUUUUGUACGGAACGAAAAGGUCCGGGUUAAUACCCUGGGCUCAUGACGGUACCGUAAGAAUAAGCACCGGCUAACUACGUG